AACGAACGCUGGCGGCAGGCCUAACACAUGCAAGUCGAACGCCCGUAGCAAUACGGGAGUGGCAGACGGGUGAGUAACGCGUGGGAACGUGCCCUUCGGUUCGGAAUAACUCAGGGAAACUUGAGCUAAUACCGGAUACGUCCGUAAGGAGAAAGAUUUAUCGCCGAAGGAUCGGCCCGCGUCGGAUUAGCUAGUUGGUGAGGUAACGGCCCACCAAGGCGACGAUCCGUAGCUGGUCUGAGAGGANGAUCAGCCACACUGGGACUGAGACACGGCCCAGACUCCUACGGGAGGCAGCAGUGGGGAAUAUUGGACAAUGGGCGGCAAGCCUGAUCCAGCGAUGCCGCGUGUGUGAAGAAGGCCUGCGGGUUGUAAAGCACUUUC
RNAcentral lists this ribosomal RNA (384 nucleotides) under uncultured bacterium. RNAcentral's name for it is "bacterial SSU rRNA". It matches the Rfam family "Bacterial small subunit ribosomal RNA", at positions 29 to 437 of the family's 1533-position model. The record is from RNAcentral.